RNAcentral lists this long non-coding RNA (669 nucleotides) under Equus caballus (horse). Its description in RNAcentral is "lncRNA (ENSECAG00000045501.1)". The record is from RNAcentral. Lineage: Eukaryota; Metazoa; Chordata; Mammalia; Perissodactyla; Equidae.
CUCACUUUUCACAUCUGUUCAAGAAGAGACAGGACUACAUAAUUCCUAAUGUGCUUUCCAGCUUGAAAAUCACAUGAAACUGAGCCAGGAAAUAUUCAGCUUGGAAAACUUUAUGUUUUGAAUGUUAAAGUCAAGGCGUUUGGUGUUACUGUUGUCCCCAAUGAACAUAAAUGCAUUUUCAAGAGAAUGAGAAGAAAUUUAAGCUGAGAGGAUUAAAAGUUUAGGCUUUCUUCAAGUUUCAUCCAACGAUUCCUUGAAGACAAGAACAGAAGCAUAUGAGAAAGAGUGACAAAAGAAGCCACAGUCCAACAUGCAUGGAAGAUGAGAGCUACAAAGGUGUCAGUAUAUCUCUACAGGACUAGUGCCCCUCGAGGCUGAUUGUCGGAAAUCUGUUAUGGCACCUGCUACAAGAACACAGGAAAAAAAAGACUUCCUGAAUGAAUAAAUGAAUCAAAAAUCUUCUAUUUUCCUCUACAGCACUUCUGUCUUUCAGCUACUCACAGAGGUCCAGGAAUCAUCAUUAAUAAUCAUUAAUCAUCAUUAAUACAUAUAAGGCUGUAUAAAGUGUCCAAGGAAUCGUUAUCUUUUAAAAACUGGAAGCUGCUCUGCUCCAUCCAAUCUGAGGGGAAAUGAUCUGGUGAGAGGCAUGGGCGAUACUGAGAAAGAACU